Molecule: ribosomal RNA, 256 nt
Filed under: uncultured bacterium
Lineage: Bacteria
Description: partial 16S ribosomal RNA
Rfam family: Bacterial small subunit ribosomal RNA
Source: RNAcentral
UACAGAGGCCUCGAGCGUUAGGCGGAAUCACUGGGGCUUAAAGCGUGUGUAGGCGGACUUCUAAGUACCUUGUGAAAUCCCACGGCUCACCCGUGGAACUGCUUGGUAUACUGGUUGUCUUGAGCCUUCUAGGGGCGAGUGGAACAAAUGGUGGAGCGGGUGAAAUGCGUAGAUAUCAUUGGAACGCCAAUGGUGAAAACAACUCGCUGGGGAAGUGCUGACGCUGAGACACGAAAGCCAGGGGAGGCGAACGGGG